UUAUUUGUGUGUUUAUUUUUAUUUGUUUGCUUAUAAGUUAAAUGUUCUUAAAUAUAGAAACUUUAAUAAAACAUAAGUUUUUCAAAUUGAUUUGAAAAUGUUGCACUUUUUGACAAAAUACCAGUCAAAACAUCAGUAAUCGGUGGGCUAUCGGGAUCGGCAUCGGACCCAAAAAUCUGGCAUCGGUCGGGCUCUAUCUCAUCAUCAUCAAUCACUCUCUGUUCUUGCACAGCUAUAUUUCUCAUUACUUCAGUGGGGGUUUAACAUGAAUAUGGAUGUGACUAGACUUUUAAAUAUGCUCCCCCCACGUUUUGUAAGGAUGAUUUUUCGCUAAUGUUAUACCCGUUUCCUGCCGCUAUUAAUAAUGAUGCUGUUUUCUUGUUUGCAAUCGAUAACAAAAAAUUGUUUCAUAGCUGGCUAACUUAGCUAGCUUCUGUGUGUGGUAAACUAAAGUUAUUUUUUCUCUCUAACGGUGCGAUCCCAGCUCUAUCUAACUUUCAGUAGAUUGCUAUGAAACUGGUGAAGUUAGCUAGUAGCUGACUGCUCGACUAGUCAGUAACUUGCUGGUGGGAAUGUAACGUUAGAUUUGAUAGCUGCAACGCUAACUAGAAAUGCCUCUCAGGCGACAUAUUUAGCUCCAAAAUGUUUUGUAACAUUUUGACAUAGCUUUGACAAGCUAAUCAUUGAUUGGCGUGUAUCCGUGUCGAUGAAUGUUCCCAUUUGACUUGCAUUGUAGUUAAAAACAGUAGUUUAAAACACACAAAUUACCAGGUUAAAACAACACCUUACGCAAGGUAAACAAUUAGCCUGGAAGCUGUUUGCCUACCUGUGCCCGAAAGCGGAAAUGGGGGGUGUGGGCAAGGAAACUUGUCUAUACAGGAAAGCUGUGGUAUGGGGUGUGGUUAAAUGAGUCACUCAGAGGUGGACAUAUUGGCUUUGUAGUUUAGUGUUUUUUGUAGGCUAUGGUACCUACAGAUGUUAUUUUUAUUCCAUUCCCCAAGCCGAAGACAAACUUGGUGAUGGAUAAAACUGUCAAUACAGACAGCUAGCUACAUUUUCUCUAAAGUAGGCCUAACCCUAACCCUAACCCUAUUAAUAAUAACAUGGCUUGUCUAUUAACUGCAGUUAGCUGAGUGAUUAAAUCAAAUCAAAGGUUAUUUUUUAAAUUCACAAUGCAACAUAUCGGCAGUUGUUAUCUGUUAAUGAAAUGCUUAACUUUAGCUCACUUAACUUUGUCUGCAUAAUUGUGUAGAUAUGUAAAGGGAGCUAGCAGGUGGUGAAACAAUAAGAACAAUAAUGAACUAAUUAAGAAAAGUGGCUGCGUUUGUCAUCUCAUUGGUGGCUUGUUAUCUCUAAACUUAGCUGUUCAAUCGACUGCUGUGUCUUUUAUAUUAGAACGCAUGAUGGCCUACUGAGCAGGGUAAAGAUGGAAAAGCUUAGGUGUUGUUCACUGCCCUGUCUUUGGUUUAUGCUACAAAGUUUGAGAACUCUGUAAUUUGUUAUAAAUGUGUAUUCUAUUUUUAUAUGAAUUAUGAUGUUGAAACUGAACUUGAGAAAAUAAGUAUAACGUCUGUGUGUGUGUUUGUGUAUGUAUUAUGAUAUGUGUGACGUCACUGCAGUGGGGACAGGAGGAGCAGGAGCUGCAGCUGGUGAUCUGACUUGAUUUAUAUUCAACUCAUGUCAACUUAAUAGGGAAUCACUGUCAGUCCAAGGAGCUUCAUUUUAUAAGCUUUUUUUACUUUUUUUUAUGUUUACAUAGAACUAGUUUCUAUGACUAUGUCAUUGCUAUGUCAUUGCUCCACAGAACAUCAUAAUAAUAGCACAUUGAUAGCUAAUAACAUAAUUACAUCAUGUGGCUGAAUAUCCUUAUAUUUAGGGUAACUUCCAUUAGCUGGCUAGACAUUAAUGUAAUGUUAGCUACGUAGUCCACCUAAAUUACUAUCAGAGACGGCAUAAGAAAAAUAUAUUGUCUCUGUUACUAUCAAACGACCGUUUGCAAGGUUUUCCUCUUGACUAUUUAACGAUUUAAUUUCAUUUCUUAUCUUAGUAUUCCACUGUAUUCUUGAAUGCUGUCGCUGUCAUUGGAUUCUACCGUGAUGCAUUUAAAAUCUGCGUUGCCGUGUUUGAUUGGAAAGAAAUGGACGGGCAUGACGAGUCCUGAUUGGCAUUUAGCAGAUACUCUUAUCCAGCAAUGCAGGUUAAGUACCUUGCUCAAGGGUACAACGGCAGUGUCCUACCCAGGAAUCAAACCUAUGACCUUUACAAGCCCAGUUUCUUACCCACUAUGCUACACUGCCGCCACCUCAUCUCAUUUGUGAUCAUGUCAAACUUAACCUAAAUGCCCAUUCUGCAGAAAGCAUAUUGUUUAAACUGUUCAAUUAAAUAAUUUGUGGUCA
Molecule: long non-coding RNA, 2396 nt
Organism: Anguilla rostrata (American eel)
Lineage: Eukaryota; Metazoa; Chordata; Actinopteri; Anguilliformes; Anguillidae
Exons: 2
Source: RefSeq, a predicted model, not a curated record